UCAGCUCCUUGCCCCACGUCUUCCCACUCCUGGGCUCAGGCUAAAGGAACAGCUCUUGUUUAGGAUAUGUCAUUCUCCUGGCAGAGGAUCCAGGAAAACGAAACUUGCAAUGCUUUUAAAGCUUCUGCUAAGCUAUGACACAUGUCCUAUCUGCUCACAUUCUGUUGGCUCAAGGAGGUUACAUGGCCAAGCACAAAGCCAAUGAUGUAGGACAAUAUAUUCUGAAUCAUUUUAAAGAAGAAUAGAGUCUCUCACAGAUAUCAAGGAGCUCUUGAUACAUUCUUAUAUAAUCCUUUGUUAGGAUGUGGAUUGCCAUAUAGUCUGCGAUGUGUAGCUUAUUUUCUUUUUUCUUUCUUUCUUUCUUUCUUUGGCUGCGCCGGUCUUAGUUGCAGCAUGCAGGAUCUAGUUCCCUGACCAGGGAUCGAGCCCAGGCCCCCUGCACUGGGAGCGCGGAGUCUUAACCACUGAACCACCAGGGAAGUACCUGUAGCUUAUUUUCAAGUUGUCUUUUUAAGAAAGAAAACUCUUAAUUUUAAUACAGAAAAUGUAUCAUUCUUUUCUUUUAGAGUCAACGUUUUUGUAUCUUGUUUAAGAAAUCUUUCCCUUCUCCAAAGUUCAAAAGAUAUUUCUAUUAAAAUUUUCAGGGGCGUAUUUUUUUUUUUAAGAAGAUGUUGGGGGUAGGAGUUUAUUAAUUAAUUAAUUUUCGCUGUGUUGGGUCUUCGUUUCUGUGCGUGGGCUUUCUCUAGUUGUGGCAAGUGGGGGCCACUCUUCAUCGCGGUGUGCAGGCCUCUCACUGUCGCGGCCUCUCUUGUUGUGGAGCACAGGCUCCAGACGCGCAGGCUCAGUAGUUGUGGCUCACGGGCCCCGUUGCUCCGCGGCACGUGGGAUCCUCCCAGACCAGGGCUCGAACCCGUGUCCCCUGCAUUAGCAGACAGACUCUCAACCACUGCGCCACCAGGGAAGCCCCAGGGGCGUAUUUUUAACACUUAACCAUCUGCAGUUGAUUUUUGCAUAUGGUGUAACGUAAGGAUCCAAUUUAAUCUUCUCUUCCAUGUGGACUGCCAUUUUUCCAGGCCUAAUUUUUGAAUUGAUGUGACAUACAAGCCAUAUCACGUACCAUAGCAUCAUACAUACGUGGUUCUCUUUAUGGACUUUCUUUUUAUUGGUCACCUACUUUAUCACUGCAUUGACCAUAAUGAGCCAUGGUAUCUGGUUAAGAAAGGCUCCCCUCUCUCUUUAUUUGUUGUUUUUUUGUGUUUCAACCAAAAGUGUUCCGGCUAUUUUCACCCUUUUACUCUUUUAUGUCAAGUUUGGAGCCAUUUCAUCAAGUCCCAGGAAAAUCUCUGUUGGGCACCAGUCUGUGCUCUUUACACGGCCAGCUCAUUGAACCCUCACCACUACCUGAUGAAGAUUAACUUCCUAGAAGUGGAAUUACAGCAAGAGAGUAUAAACACAUCUGACUACUAGAGCGAUAAGAAAGAUGUUUCCAAAAAAAAGCGACCAUUUCUUUGUUAGUGGCAAUGUAUAAAGACAGUUGUUUUAUAAAAAGUAGUCCUCAGCAUUGGGUGUCAUUAUUCAACUCCUCUCCAACUUUUUUUUUUUUUUUUGCCAGUUUAGUGAGCAUGUAAGUUUACCCUGUUAUCGCUGCAAUUCUCCUUUUUGUAAAUCCUAUAUCCCUUCUUCCUUCCAAAGACAUCUGGUCAAACGGGCUUCAGAGAGAACUCAUUUCAAUUAGGGUGUACGUGUAUGUGUGUGCAUGCGGUGUAGCUAUGGUUCUUUGUAUCUGGAUACAUAUAAGAGUCCGAGUAUCUGACCGUCUCUGUGUGUGCAUCCGCUUCCAUGUUUAUGCCUCAAAGAACAGACGUGUUGUGGAGUGUAUAUGUCUGGGGUUCUGCUGCGGACCUUGUUUCUGAGCAUGUAUUCCUUGGAGUAUGCUCAUGUGUAUGUGUGAAUAAAUUGUAGCGUGGAA
This is a long non-coding RNA of Orcinus orca (killer whale), 1969 nucleotides long. RefSeq lists it as uncharacterized. The transcript is spliced from 2 exons. The record is from RefSeq and is a predicted model, not a curated record. NCBI's taxonomy places the organism in Eukaryota, Metazoa, Chordata, Mammalia, Artiodactyla, Delphinidae.